Molecule: unclassified non-coding RNA, 522 nt
Filed under: plant metagenome
Description: partial contains 5.8S ribosomal RNA, internal transcribed spacer 2, and large subunit ribosomal RNA
Source: RNAcentral
ACAUCAGUCUAAACUCUGACCUGCUUUACUGCAACCAUUCGUGCGAUCCGAACGUGCGGUUCGUGACCUCGACACUCACUGCGGUCCCUACCAAAGACUCGAUGGUCAAGCCGGGAGAACCGAUCUCUGGCGCAAUUGAGGUCUGGAGCCUCAGGGAUAUCCGGGAAGGCGAAGAACUGCGGUUCUUCUACCCGAGCACGGAGUGGGAGAUGGCACAGCCUUUCGACUGCGUUUGCGGCGCCGAGACAUGCUUGGGUAGAAUCGACGGCGCCAAAAAUCUUCCCACUGAGACGUUGAAGAAAUACUGGCUUAGCGCACAUAUUGAGUCGUUGCUGGAAGAGAGAGAAGCUGGCCAAUCGGCCUAAGCUUAGCGAGGAUAUCUUCCAGAUACCUACGUAUCCGCGCGACUGCACUCUCUUUCCAUGGGAGCGAAAAAAAGGAAAAGCAUAUAAAAGUGAUUGUUGACAGACAUGACGACAUAGAGUAUAGACAAAAUAAAAAUAAAAUAGAUGCGGCCUCGGC